AGUCAGUUACUCUGUGGCAGGGCUUUGAACCAGAAUUUUUUUCCUAACUGGUUUGUUCCGAACAGAAACAAUAUUUUAAUGUUUCCGGUGUUG
Molecule: long non-coding RNA, 93 nt
Organism: Thalassophryne amazonica
Lineage: Eukaryota; Metazoa; Chordata; Actinopteri; Batrachoidiformes; Batrachoididae
Exons: 3
Source: RefSeq, a predicted model, not a curated record